This 117-nucleotide non-coding RNA is filed under the name Nomascus leucogenys (northern white-cheeked gibbon). The record is from Rfam by way of RNAcentral. Lineage: Eukaryota; Metazoa; Chordata; Mammalia; Primates; Hylobatidae.
GCUGGGCGUGGUGGCUCACGUCUGUAAUCCCAGCACUUUGGGAGGCUGAGGCGGGUGGAUCACCUGAGGCCAGGAGUUUGAGACCAGCCUGGCCAACAUGGUGAGACCCCACCUCUA